UUCUAGAUGAAUGCAUUCUGGAGUUUAGAA
RNAcentral lists this non-coding RNA (30 nucleotides) under Rattus norvegicus (Norway rat). Lineage: Eukaryota; Metazoa; Chordata; Mammalia; Rodentia; Muridae. The record is from RNAcentral.